GGAUGAACGCUAGCGGCAGGCUUAAUACAUGCAAGUCGAGGGGCAGCAGGGUGUAGCGAUACAUCGCUGGCGACCGGCAAACGGGUGCGGAACACGUACGCAACCUUCCUUCAAGUGAGGAAUAGCCCAGGGAAACUUGGAUUAAUACCUCGUAACAUUGUGAAGUGGCAUCACUUUAUAAUUAUAGCUCAGGCGCUUGAAGAUGGGCGUGCGACUGAUUAGGUAGUUGGCGGAGUAACAGCCCCACCAAGCCUGCGAUCAGUAACUGGUGUGAGAGCACGACCAGUCACACGGGCACUGAGACACGGGCCC
RNAcentral lists this ribosomal RNA (312 nucleotides) under uncultured bacterium. RNAcentral's name for it is "bacterial SSU rRNA". It matches the Rfam family "Bacterial small subunit ribosomal RNA", at positions 27 to 333 of the family's 1533-position model. The record is from RNAcentral.